CCAACAUCCACUAUAAUGACUCAUUGAGUCAAUGUUUAUGUGUAGUCAAAUUCUAGCAGCCUCACUGUGAGCAACUAUGGUACCGCAGGUUAAAGGACCAGUCAUACUACUGCAGCAUCAAGAAAGUCACUAACGAAUAAGCAGACAUCUAUGUGACUUCUCGUAUUGGUCAUACUCAGUACUAGUUAUUCUCUAACAACCAUCUACACUCUCGCUCCAGUGUCACUACACCACAGACUCGAGACUCAUCUAUCCGAAAAAAGUGAUCCGUACACUGGUCUAUCUAGAUCAAUCACCAUCCAUGAUGAUCCUAUGAUCACGAGCAAUUUAUGAAUUAACCAUCAAUGACACAUAUCUCAAAUUCUCAACUCUUUGAAAAUAUGUGUCAUUAUCUUGUUAAUCCCUUGGAUGAUUCAUAGACACAUAAAAUAUGAAUGGUAAUAUAAGUGUCCUUUAAGUACAAAAUCAUGUCCUAAUAAUAUAAUAUGCAUCAGCCAAGAUUGGUUUCUAAGACAUACAUCCAACAGUCUCCUAUUUGUACUAAAGCCAAUCUAUCAUAUACCAAGCCCCAUCUUCUUAAGACAGGCUUUAGUCUUCGGCUAGCUAAGUAAGUUAUCAAUGGGUUAUCCACAUCUUAUGUAAAGUUUGCUCUCUGCACCUUUAUGUAUUUCUACUUGAGGUAG
RNAcentral lists this long non-coding RNA (683 nucleotides) under Elaeis guineensis (African oil palm). Its description in RNAcentral is "long non-coding RNA (EGUI_LNC014868)". Lineage: Eukaryota; Viridiplantae; Streptophyta; Magnoliopsida; Arecales; Arecaceae. The record is from RNAcentral.